RNAcentral lists this ribosomal RNA (253 nucleotides) under uncultured bacterium. RNAcentral's name for it is "partial 16S ribosomal RNA". It matches the Rfam family "Archaeal small subunit ribosomal RNA", at positions 474 to 727 of the family's 1478-position model. The record is from RNAcentral.
UACCAGCACCCCGAGUGGUCGGGACGUUUAUUGGGCCUAAAGCAUCCGUAGCCGGUUCUACAAGUCUUCCGUUAAAUCCAACUGCUUAACAGGUGGGCUGCGGAAGAUACUAUAGAGCUAGGAGGCGGGAGAGGCAAGCGGUACUCGAUGGGUAGGGGUAAAAUCCUCUGAUCCAUUGAAGGCCACCAGUGGCGAAGGCGGCUUGCCAGAACGCGCUCGACGGUGAGGGAUGAAAGCUGGGGGAGCAAACCGG